AAUAAGCUAUUUAAGAGCGUAAGGUGGAUGCCUUGGCUCUCAGAGGCGAUGAAGGACGUGAUAAGCUGCGAUAAGCUACGGGGAUUGGCACACACAAUUUGAUCCGUAGAUUUCCGAAUGGGGCAACCCACUAUAUUGAAGAUAUAGUAUCCGUUAAGGAAGCAAACCCAGGGAACUGAAACAUCUAAGUACCUGGAGGAAUAGAAAACAAAAGUGAUUCCGCUAGUAGUGGCGAGCGAACGCGGAACAGCCCAAACCAAAAUUGUUUCGGCAAUUUUGGGGUUGUAGGACCACGACAUUGAAUGUUUAAUGAAUUAGAAUUCUUUGGAAAAAGAA
RNAcentral lists this ribosomal RNA (336 nucleotides) under uncultured Flavobacteriaceae bacterium. Its description in RNAcentral is "bacterial LSU rRNA". It matches the Rfam family "Bacterial large subunit ribosomal RNA", at positions 1 to 353 of the family's 2925-position model. The record is from RNAcentral. Lineage: Bacteria; Pseudomonadati; Bacteroidota; Flavobacteriia; Flavobacteriales; Flavobacteriaceae.